This 266-nucleotide long non-coding RNA is filed under the name Solanum tuberosum (potato). RNAcentral's name for it is "long non-coding RNA (STUB_LNC001214)". Lineage: Eukaryota; Viridiplantae; Streptophyta; Magnoliopsida; Solanales; Solanaceae. The record is from RNAcentral.
GGUGAUGUAAUAUUACAUGAAUUAAUUUUUAAUAUGACAUAAUACAUAAAUGUGUUUUUUAAUUUAGCUUCAAUUGAUAUUUAUGUUUUUUAUUUUUGAUUAUGCACGUGUAGACUGUUUAACUUGCGUAAAACUGAACAAAUCGACAAGCGUACAUGACAAUUUGUGUCCUAUAUGUAUUAUGUCACGUCAGACGCAUGCGUCUACUUGUUCAAGUUUAUACAAGUUUAAGUGUCUACUUGUACACAUUCAAAAUUGAAGGUCAU